GCGGGCGUGGCGGAAUUGGUAGACGCGCCAGGUUUAGGUCCUGGUGGCCAUUGGUCGUGGGGGUUCAAGUCCCUCCGCCCGCACCA
Molecule: transfer RNA, 86 nt
Filed under: Rhodospirillaceae bacterium
Lineage: Bacteria; Pseudomonadati; Pseudomonadota; Alphaproteobacteria; Rhodospirillales; Rhodospirillaceae
Also listed under: 1 other name
Description: tRNA-Leu
Rfam family: tRNA
About the family: Transfer RNA (tRNA) molecules are approximately 80 nucleotides in length. Their secondary structure includes four short double-helical elements and three loops (D, anti-codon, and T loops).
Source: RNAcentral